AGCGAACGCUGGCGGCAGGCCUAACACAUGCAAGUCGAGCGCCCCGCAAGGGGAGCGGCAGACGGGAGAGUAACACGUGGGAACGUACCCUUCAGUUCGGAACAACCAAGGGAAACUUUGGCUAAUACCGAAUACGUCCGUAAGGAGAAAGAUUUAUCGCUGAAGGAUCGGCCCGCAUCUGAUUAGCUAGUUGGUGAGGUAACGGCUCGCCAAGGCGACGAUCAGUAGCUGGUCUGAGAGGAUGAUCAGCCUCAUUGGGACUGAGACACGGCCCAAACUCCUACGGGAGGCAGCAGUGGGGAAUAUUGGACAAUGGGCGCAAGCCUGAUCCAGCCAUGCCGCGUGGAUGAUGAAGGCCCUAGGGUUGUAAAGUCCUUUCGACGGGGAAGAUAAUGACGGUACCCGUAGAAGAAGCCCCGGCUA
RNAcentral lists this ribosomal RNA (423 nucleotides) under uncultured bacterium. Its description in RNAcentral is "bacterial SSU rRNA". It matches the Rfam family "Bacterial small subunit ribosomal RNA", at positions 29 to 499 of the family's 1533-position model. The record is from RNAcentral.